UAACUUACCACCUAUUCCAUAUACUUGCAACAUCUGCCACAUUGCUCCUCUAUCCACUCUAUCAUAUGCCUUUUCUAAAUCCAUAAAUGCAAUAAAAACUUCCCUAUCUUUAUCUAAAUACUGUUCACAUAUAUGCUUCAAUGUAAACACCUGAUCUACACAUCCCCUACCCACUCUGAAACCUCCUUGCUCAUCCGCAAUCCUACAUUCUGUCUUAUCUCUAAUUCUUUCAAUUAUAACCCUACCGUACACUUUUCCUGGUAUACUCAGUAAUUAUCCCAGAAAUAUCUAGAAUCGGCCACUCAUUAUUCUACAGAAGCUGCUUUCCCAGUAAAUAAUGCUUUCUAACUCUACCAGAGAUUGAUUGGGAUUUUCACAGAGAAACCUGCCACUGCAAAAGAUGAUAUAUAUCCAGGAACAAGUCACAAUCUUAAUAAAUUUUUUUGCCCAAUACAAAGAGAAUAGAGCAGACCUUAAAUAUCUUCCAUGCUCACAGAGGAUCUCACUGAUGAGACGAGAAAAUGGCAAUUAGGGCACCAAGAGGUCUGCAUUCAUCAGGUAAUGGAAUAGGUGCUUUCUUUUUUUUUAUCACCUGAGCUCUCAGAGCUUUCACCUUUCUCAUGGUAGCUGCUGGACUUCCCAUGUCUUCCAUCUUAUACAGCAGGUUAAGUUCCGGGCUACUGCUGUAAAGUGAAAAUCGCCGUAAAGUGAAUCAUAGUCUUAUUUCACUUUUAAACACAUAUCAAAGCCUGAUAACAUGUUUACACUAUCAUAUAUUAAGUGAGCCAUAUAGCUAGGCCUAAAAAAUGCAUAUACAUUAUACACAUUACUUUAAAAUAUUUUUGGUUUUAGCUUAUAGUGAGUUGUGAAUGUAUUUAUUGUAGGAAGUCUGAAUAAAUUGAGAAUGGACAGUUGAAAACCGCUGUAUUAGCAAAACACUGUAAAGCGGGGCCUGCCUGUACUUGUGCUGAGGUCAGUAUUUUGUUUGGUUUCUGGAAGGGUCAAGGCAUUUUUGUUCAAGUAUUUAAACUUGUUAGUAGACUGGUUCAGGAGAGAUAAAGUUUGCAGUGAGGGACACCAUGCUCAGUACAGUGGACCCCCACAUAACGAUUACCUCCGAAUGCGACCAAUUAUGUAAGUGUAUUUAUGUAAGUGCAUUUGUACGUGUAUGUUUGGGGGUCUGAAAUGGACUAAUCUACUUCACAAUAUUUCUUAUGGGAACAAAUUUGGUCAGUACUUGCACCUGAACAUACUUCUGGAGUGAAAAAAUAUCGUUAACCGGGGGUCCACUGUACUUCCAAAACUUGGUUCUUAUCUUCCCCAUGCUCCUUUCUAGUGAUGUGACAUCAUUUAUAAAAAACUUCCACAAAAUACCAACAUUAUUUAACAUUUAUGGAGCUCUUUUCCACAUUAUAAGCACCUUAUUUUGCAUUUCCAAAUUCAAAUCACUUCAUUACAAGUGUUAUGAAGGCAGUAGCCUGUAUAACACAUGUCUUAAUAUCUCCUCAGUGUAAUGGCUGUAUCAGAGGGUUUGUAUUGGGUGAUAAACACACAACCUUCACACUUGGGCCCUCAACUGCAAGACUGGAGUAUGAAUACAGGAAUUAUCUAGAAUAAGGAGAACUCUUAAUGUUCUGGUUAGGUACAUCUUCAGUGCAGUAAUAAAAUAAUUGUUGAACCAUUCAACAAAUGGCCUUAGUUAUUCAUGCUGCCUUGUUAGACUGCCAACUAUGAGGCCAAUAGGUUUUGUUUUGCUUUUGUACUUGAAGUUGUCUGCACAGAGAAGCAAGAUAAAGCUUCCUUAAGACAAGGUGCAAAUUUUUCUAAGCUCUUGAUGCAUUUGCUUCUAGCGUAGCUCUGUCUUAUCAUUCAGCACCUGGUCAGAAAUCAUUUGUGUAAUGUGAUCAAGUGAUGCACUCUUGCUACUAAUGUUUAAGGCUGAUUGUGGUUUUUAAAGAUUUCAAUCCAUCCAGCACUUCAAAUACACUGUUGUGAAGGCUCUCCUUUCUUCUUGCAUACUUUUAUAUCAGGAGAAGGUUUUGUGCCUUAUUAUCUAAACACUAUGCAUGACCCUUUCUCUGUUUUCUCCUCAAGUCACACAUUCAACAACUUUGAUAACGUGUUUAGCUGUACAGUGGAACCUCAAAUAUCGAACUUUCUUUGGUCCAGAAGUCUGUUCGAGUGCCUUUACCGAAUGAAUUUAUUCCCAUUAGGAAUAAUGUAAAUUAGAUUAGUCCAUUUCAGACCCUUAAAAAUACACUUAUAAAAGCACUUACAAAAAUACACUUACAUAAUUGGUUGUGUUGGGAGCAGUUCAAUUUUUGAGGUUCCACUGUAUUUACCUCUGACAUUGUUUGUGCCAAAGGGUAACAGAAACAAUGGGAAGACCAGAGUGAGCUCAUGGUUUACCAUGGAGGUGUGGAGAAGCUAAGCCAAGUGUGUUAGAGUAUGGAAAAUGUUUAGAAUUCAAAGGACUUGGGGAACCAGGGAAUUGAGCUGAAGAGCCAGAAAUGAAGAUGCAUGGAUAAGGAGAGAGGCCCAGUAGCAAUACGAGAAUGAUAGCAUCAAAAGCCAAUUCUGGCCAAAAGUUGUACAGCCACAUCAGGAGGAACACAACAGUCGAGGACCAGGUAAUCAGGCUGAGGAAGGGAGAAGGGGAGCUCAAAGGGAGUGGCCAGGAAGUAUGUGAGGAGCUUAUUUCAAGAUUCAGGAAGGUACUUACAGUGAAGAGAGAGACUUCCAGCAAACCGAGGGAGUAGGGUGCACCAACAAGUUCUGGAAGCACUGCACACAACCAAGGAUGAGGUGAAAAAAUGGCUAAGUGAGGUAGAUAUCCUUGAAGGCAUUGUACCCAGAUAACAUCUCCUUGGGUCCUGAGAGAGGGAGAAGAUGUACUGUGUGUACCACCUACAAUAAUCUUCAAUAAAUCUAUUGAAACAGGGCAACUGCCUAAGGUGUGGAAGAUGGCAAAUAUAGUCCCAAUUUUUAAGAAAGGAGAUAGACAGGAAGCACUAAACUAUAGACCUGUGUCGCUGACAUGUAUGGAAAGUUAUGGAAAAGAUUAUCAGAAGAGUGGUGGAGCACCUAGAAAGGAAUGGGCUCAUACAUGACAACCAGCAUGGAUUCUGAGAAGGGAAAUCCUGCAUCACAAACCUACUGAAGUUCUACGACAAGGUAACAGGAGAGAGGGAUUGGUAGAAUGCAUAUUCUUGGACUGUAAGGCUGUAUAGUCCUUGUGGCUUAGCGCUUCUUUUUGAUUAUAAUAGUAAUAAUUGGACUGUAAGGCUUUCGAUACAAUACCAUACAAGAGAGGUUGAAAUGCUAGAGGAGCAGGCAGGAAUAGCAGGAGAAUACUGCAAUCAGGAAAUACCAGACAGGAAGGAAAUAAUGUGUGUUGGUGUGUGGUGAGGUGUCAGAGAGAGUGUAUGUGUCAAGUGGGAUUCCACAAGGGUCAGUCCUAGGUCCAGUGCUGUUUCUAGUAUACGUAUAUGUGAAUGACAUGACAGAAGGGAUAUAUUCAGAGUACCCCUUUUUGCAGACGGUGUGAAGCUAAUGAGAAGAAUACAAAUAGACAAGGAUCAGGUAAGCCUACAAGGAGAGCUGGACAGGCUGCAAGCCUAGUUCCGACAAAUGCAAAGUGCAAAGUCAAGAAGUUCGGGGAAGGACAAAGAAGUCUGCGGGCAGAGUGCAGCCUAGGAGGUCAAAGGCUGCAAAAUUCACUCUAGGAAAAGGCUCUUGGGGUGACACGUCAUACUGAGCACAUCUGAAGCACACAUCAACCAAAUAACUGCUGCAGUAUAUGGGCACCUGGCAAACCUAAGAAUAGCAUUUUGACAUCUAAGUAAGGAGUCAUUUAAGACACUGUACACUGUGUAUGUUAGGCCCAUAUUGGAGUAUGCAGCAUCAGUAUGGAAUACACACUUUGUCAAACACAUCAAGAAAUUAGAGAAAGUGCAAAGGUUUGCAACAAGACUAGUCCUGGAGCUAAGGGGCAUGUCCUACAAGGAGAGGUUAAAGGAAAUCAACCUGACGACAUUGGAGAACAGGAGGGAUAGGGGGGACAUGAUAAUCGACAUAUGAAAUACUGAGAGGAAUUGACAAGGUGGACAGGGACAGAAUGUUUCAGAGAUGGGACACAGGAACAAGGGGGCCACAACUGGAAGUGAAAACUCAGAUGAGUCACAGGGAUGUUAGAAAGUAUUUUUCAGUCAUAGAGUUGUCAAGAAGUGGAAGAAUCUGGAGAGUUAUGCAAUGGAGGCAGGAUCUAUACAAGAGGUACUAUAAAGGAUUUAUACAAAAGGUACUGUAAAGCUCAUGGAGUAAAGAAGCAGGGCUAGGAGCUGUGAAUCAACCCUUGCAACCACAAAUAAGUGAGUACUCACACUUGUGGAGCAGGUUCCUUAUUGUAUUCACCUUUUUUGUUUGUCUGGGUUCAUUUAUGUUUAAAACACAGGAGCAUUAUUGGUACCAUUGAUUAAACCCUCCAAAUCUUCAGGAAUGUGAGGAACAGUGUGACGUGACCCUUUAUAAUUUCACUAGUGAAGAAGCUAAAGACUACCUUGAUCUUGAAUGGAACACUUAAAAAAUAGGAUUAGUACAUGUAUUAUGCUCAGGAAACAGGUAGCAGGCUUUACGGUACUAUUACUUAAUGCAUUCAUCAGAACAGGAGCCAUGACAGGUUCCCAGGCUUCUGAAAUGAAUAAAACUGUUUUUUUGAAGUUUUCACUGCCCUUUGGUGCUCUAAAUUCCACAGGUUCUCUCAUGAAUUUGUCGAGGCAGUGGAAUUUCCGACUCUUAAUUACUCCUUGAUCCAUGGGCUGAAUCAGGAACAUACAGUUAGUAAAGCACAUAGCAAAACAAAUUUGUGUAAUUGUUGAAGCAUUUAUUUAUUUGAGAGCAUUUAUCAAGCAGACUCAGAGUCUUGCAGUCUUCAAAAAACCUUUCUUUCCUGCAAUGACUCCGGGUUUCAGGCAUAAAAUAUUUAUCAGAUCAGUCCCAGUGUUUAUUAGAUCAGUUUGCUAGUUGGACCACUAGUGAAAGGGAAACACUGGACACUCUCAAACCCAUGCAGAUGAGCAUUUUCUUUUUCCAGUUAAGUGGAGCUCUUAAUUGUGUUUAAGCUACAUUCUUACAUGUGAAGACUGUUUACCGCUUGGGUUUCAUCAUCCCAUAGAUUGAUUUCUAAUAUAUUUCAGACAUUUAUGUUGAAUUUUGUGACUGUAUUUAUCAACUCUUGUAGGCAGCAUCAGCAACUGUGAUGAAUGCUGUGUCAAAAUUUUAAACUUGUAUACUCAGCUUUAGAAUAUUUAAUCUUUAUCUUCAUUUCUGCAUGAUCUGGUGAAACCAGUCAUAUAAAAUUUUGUACACAAAGGAACUUUGAGAUCCACUUACUGACCAUGACCAUACCCUUAACACUGUCACUGAGAAAAGAACUUGGAGAUUUAUCUGUUCUGUGUCCUCAUAUCAUGAUCUACUUCCUGCAGUAAUGCUGCUACUUGCUGAAUUGUUAGAGCAGUUCUCUGCACUGAACCAAGGCAUUUCUCUAGCAGUGGCAUUACUGUUCAUACUUUAUGAUCUUGAAUUAAACUCAGGCACUGUAUGAUCCCCAUGAGUCUAGUACUUCCCCAUGAAUAUAAUAAUAGUACAAUCUUUAAACAAUUUAUGCUUUUAUCUUUGAUAUUAUAGUCACGUCACAUGCCAUUAAAUUAAGAUGUAUAAUUGCACUCCUAAAUAGGGUACUCAAUAUACAUUUAUAAACAAUAACAAACUGCGGCUAGCCAGGGGAUCAAACCCGUGUUGUAUUAGCCUGCUUCGUGGGAAGAGGGAGAAAAUUCACAACGCUCUAAACCACUGGACCAUACAAUCCUACUACAGCAUGACCUAGCAAACUAGGCUUGCAAGGACAUAUGAUGGUGUGGUUGCCUCAGAGCUAAUUUCAUUAUAUUCUCCGUUUGGUGUACUAGCCUCCACAAGCAGUACAUAUAUUUGUAGGAUUGUAUGGUCCAGUGGUUUAGAGCGUCGUGAAUUUUUGCUCUCUUCUCACAAAGCGGGCUAAAACAACACGGGUUCAGUCCCCUGGCUAGCUGCAGUUUGUUACUGAUUCAAUACCACUUGUUCGCGGUUACAAUAAUACAUUUAUAAGUAUUUACUGUACUGCAAAAUGUAUGAAAAAAAAAGAGAUCAGACAUUUCAUGUGUUUCAGUCAUCAUGAUGUUGGACACAAUGGCAUAGGUCACCCACAGAGUUCUGGCACAGAAGAUUACUUCUUAAUCAAAGGCAAAUGGUGUCAGAAAAAUCCUGAUUAUUUUAUCCAGACAAGUGUGGUACAACUGUAUUACUUAACUACUGAAAUGAGGAUUACUGCAAUUUUGUACUGUAUACACAUGUAAAAAUAAAAUGUUAACCA
Non-coding RNA from Cherax quadricarinatus, 6406 nucleotides. The record is from RefSeq and is a predicted model, not a curated record. Lineage: Eukaryota; Metazoa; Arthropoda; Malacostraca; Decapoda; Parastacidae.